GAGGGUACAGCUCAGGUGGUGGAGCACAUGCUUAGCAUGCAUGAGGUCCUGGGUUCAACCCCCAGUACCCCCU
Molecule: transfer RNA, 73 nt
Organism: Camelus ferus (Wild Bactrian camel)
Lineage: Eukaryota; Metazoa; Chordata; Mammalia; Artiodactyla; Camelidae
Rfam family: tRNA
About the family: Transfer RNA (tRNA) molecules are approximately 80 nucleotides in length. Their secondary structure includes four short double-helical elements and three loops (D, anti-codon, and T loops). Further hydrogen bonds mediate the characteristic L-shaped molecular structure. tRNAs have two regions of fundamental functional importance: the anti-codon, which is responsible for specific mRNA codon recognition, and the 3' end, to which the tRNAs corresponding amino acid is attached (by aminoacyl-tRNA synthetases). tRNAs cope with the degeneracy of the genetic code in two manners: having more than one tRNA (with a specific anti-codon) for a particular amino acid; and 'wobble' base-pairing, i.e. permitting non-standard base-pairing at the 3rd anti-codon position.
Source: Rfam